CCAAUCCAUCACUAGCUUCAACAUCCGCGCCACUCCCUUCUUCUCCCAAAUCCAGCGACGAUGUCAGGGCGCGGCAAGGGCGGCAAGGGGCUGGGAAAGGGCGGCGCCAAGCGCCAUCGGAAGGUCCUCCGCGACAACAUCCAGGGCAUCACCAAGCCGGCGAUCCGGAGGCUUGCCAGGAGGGGCGGCGUCAAGCGCAUCUCCGGCCUCAUCUACGAGGAGACCCGCGGCGUCCUCAAGAUCUUCCUCGAGAACGUCAUCCGCGACGCCGUCACCUACACCGAGCACGCUCGCCGCAAGACCGUCACCGCCAUGGACGUCGUCUACGCGCUCAAGCGCCAGGGCCGCACCCUCUACGGCUUCGGAGGCUAGAUCCGUUGCGUAGUGGAGCAACUUCCUCGUUUGCUCUCUGUGAUCUGUGCUGUGGUGGAUGAGAUUUACUGAUUUUGUGUGCGUCGUUGUGUUCUGCCUUGGGUUCAGUAGGCUGUGUAAUACCAUGUUCUGUUCAAUGCAAUCAGUUCGGUUCUGCUGCACUGACUUAAAUCGCUUAUCUGUACUGAAUCAACAUUCGUCUAUCUGGCACUCGUUGCAAUCUGUAGAAGAGAUGGAAUUCUUCCGCUCAGAUCCCCAAUCCCACCACAAGCUACAGCCCCCAAAGGAGUUCCUCUUCUUCCUAAUCACACACUCUCUCGGAGCGGAGCGGAGCGAAGCGGCGAUGUCAGGGCGCGGCAAGGGCGGCAAGGGGCUGGGCAAGGGCGGCGCCAAGCGCCACCGGAAGGUCCUCCGCGACAACAUCCAGGGCAUCACCAAGCCGGCGAUCCGGAGGCUGGCCAGGAGGGGAGGCGUCAAGCGCAUCUCCGGCCUCAUCUACGAGGAGACCCGCGGCGUCCUCAAGAUCUUCCUUGAGAACGUCAUCCGCGACGCCGUCACCUACACCGAGCACGCCCGCCGCAAGACCGUCACCGCCAUGGAUGUCGUCUACGCGCUCAAGCGCCAGGGCCGCACCCUCUACGGCUUCGGAGGCUAGAUUCUUGCCGUGCUGUGCUGUUGGCAGCUGUAUGCCCUGUGUGAUAUGCGCCCUGGUGGAUGGGAUUUACUUCUCUGUCGUUCGUUUGUGCUCAGUACGCUGUAGUAACAGUAUAUGCGUUCAAUGAAACUACUCCGAUCCUGAAUUCUGAUGAAACUCUUCAGUUAUGAAUCGUGUUACCGUUUUUCCAAGACUUUCUGAUUUGAUCUGUGCAGCUAGAAUUUUACACAGUUGCAAUCUGAUCAGUCUUUUCUUU
Hordeum vulgare subsp. vulgare (domesticated barley) is the source of this 1283-nucleotide RNA transcript. RefSeq lists it as uncharacterized. The transcript has 4 exons. NCBI's taxonomy places the organism in Eukaryota, Viridiplantae, Streptophyta, Magnoliopsida, Poales, Poaceae. The record is from RefSeq and is a predicted model, not a curated record.